Ctenopharyngodon idella (grass carp) is the source of this 2276-nucleotide long non-coding RNA. RefSeq lists it as uncharacterized. The transcript has 2 exons. NCBI's taxonomy places the organism in Eukaryota, Metazoa, Chordata, Actinopteri, Cypriniformes, Xenocyprididae. The record is from RefSeq and is a predicted model, not a curated record.
CAUCAUUUGGCGUGACAGACAGGCUCUGUCCGAAUAAACUUCACGGCGAAUAACAAGACAAUGCAAAUAAAUCCCUAACUCUGCUCCGCGGUGGAUUUGUUUGGUUUAACUCAGAGACUGAACUGGCCUAAAGCGCAAGGGCAAAUUGGAGAACCGACUUCAGGAUCACAUUGUGUCUGAGACAGGCUUCUUUCUGCUACUUCAGGUGUGUGUCAGUGCGAGUAACUCAUUGAGAUCAUUUUCAUGGCUUAUUGUGCUUAACUCUUUUUAACAUCAAGCAUGUCCCACACUUUCUCAUUCAUGUAUGUUCUUUUCGUAUAAUCCAAAACAUCAAAUGCAAGUGCUUUGCUUCAAAAGGACAUACGCAACUUUUUUUUUUUUAACAUAUAAUAAAAAGAUAAAAGAUCUCUGAUGUUGCGUUUUGAGCCAUUGCUGUGACAAAGCAUCAAUUAAACUAAAAUUAAAAUGACAAUUUGGCUUUCAAUCUGCACUUAUAUCAUAAGAAGCUGUGAUUUAAUUAAGUAUAUAGUUUCAAAGUGAAGCGUGGCACAUGAGCAGCUCGUGAUCCAGUGUUUUCAGACUGAAUGCUCCAUCUCUCCAUGUGCUGUGAGUUUAACAUGCAUUGGGAACGCACCAGUUACGCAUUAUUUUCAUUACUUGCUUUAAAAUAAUUUCACAUUUAGCAGUGCGAAACAGACAAAAAUGUAACUCCUGUUUUGAAGAAAUGUUUUGAAGCUCUAUUACACCUCCUUGUGUUAAACACAAAUGCAGAGUGUAUGUACAUAAACGUAAUUUCUACAGUUUGGUCUGUUUCAUCAUCUCCAUCAAAAUGCUUUUAUGUUCUGUAUAUAUUUUUUCUCUUACAGCUGAGAUGAUGCCACACUGACCUCUCUUAUCCCUAUUAUUGGACUUUGUUUAAAAUUUAAGAAGUACCUCAAGAAUGUGCUUGAUAUAUAAGUAGAAGGCAUUAGAUGUAGAAGGUAUGGGGUACAUCUGCUUUAAAUGAAGACGGUCUUUGGGAGCUGAUAUCAAAGCUUUUUUUUGCACAUUUGAGGGUUGACCUUCAUGUAUUUUCUAGACAUCUAGUUACUUUCAGUGUGUUCAUGCUGGAUAUCAUCACACAUUCAGGCUUACUUGAUCAUUUAGAAGACACCUACUGGAGUAUGUGAUGACAUUGGAAAUGAAAUGGAGGAAGCCUGAUUCAUCAAAUUCAGUUUUAGACACUGUUGAGCAGUGUGAUGAGGACUGUGAUAAGAUAGAGGAAGAAAAUAUACAAGACAGUAGCGUUUUUAGCUAAAUUAAGGUCAAAUUCCUCCCAGACGUUGAGUGCUGUUCAUUUUGUGGUAGAUCACACAUCUAGCCUUAUCAGUGAGGUUGGAUCUCUACAGAGAAAAACAGUCUCUUUUUAAGGGAGAUAGGGGACAGAGAGAGAGUCCUUUCUAAACAGUUGUCCAUUUCACUUGUACUUUACAAUGAUGAAUGUGAGAUGGUCAGUCCACAUAAACAAAACCUAGCUUGUGAACUGAGGUUUUUGAUCCAUUUUACUCUGAAAUGCUUGCGACCUGAGUAUCUUUCUAGCCUAAACUCUCACUUCUUGUUGGCAGUGUAUGGACAAUGUAAAAACAUAUGGAAUAAAUGCUGUCUUAAAUCCAAUUGUGUGAGCAAUUAAGGAUCUGGAAUUUGGAGGGAACUUUACUGCAGAGGCGGUUAUGUUUUUGCAGCAUCUGAGUGAGGAACACCAUAGACUGUUUUUGGAGCUUUAUCCAGACAGGCAUUUGAAGCCAAAACACCACCUGGGGCCAUCAGGAAACUUGGACCUUUGGUUCAGUUCUGGUGCAUGCGUUUUAAGGCAAUGCAUGUUUUGUUUUUUUGAAAGACUAAGUCAUUUAACCUGCAAUUUUUGCAACAUUUGUAAAACACAGGCUUUCCGACACCAGAUAAUGUUGUGCUACACCCUGCUUCUCUGCGAAGAUGUUCUCACAUGACAUUGAAGUCGGUCCUGGAUACACCACACUCCUGGGAUCUACAGAGGGUUUUGAGAAAGUGAAAUGUGGUUUCUAGACAGAUGUCUAUUUGCAAUUUUUGAUUAAAUGCAAGGGAACUACCUACAGGUCAGGAAUGACACUGUGUUUUUGUGUCUGACUCUGCUGAUAAUGAGCUCCAGUUCAGAACAUUGUGGUCAUUGACUCCAAAGUCAAAUUCAUUGUGAAAAAUGGGACACAGUUUGAUUUAAAGGCACAAUAUGUAAGAUUUUUGUAAUAAAAUAUCCAAAACCA